AUUGAACGCUGGCGGCAGGCCUAACACAUGCAAGUCGAGCGGAGCGGCCGACGGGUGAGUAAUGCCUAGGAAUCUGCCUGGUCGAGGGGGAUAACGUCCGGAAACGGGCGCUAAUACCGCAUACUAUCAGAUGAGCCUAGGUCGGAUUAGCCAGUUGGUGGGGUAAAGGCCUACAAAGGAGACGAGCCGUCACUGGUCUUGGAGGAUGAUCAGUCACACUGGAACGGAGCAACGGUCCAGACGCCUACGUGAGGCAGCAGUGGGGAAUAUUGGACAAUGGGCGAAAGCCUGAUCCAGCCAUGCCGCGUGUGUGAAGAAGGUCUUCGGAUUGUAAAGCACUUGAAGUUGGGAGGCGUUACCAACAGAAUAAGCACCGGCUAACUCCGUGCCAGCAGCCGCGGUAAUUC
This 407-nucleotide ribosomal RNA is filed under the name uncultured bacterium. Its description in RNAcentral is "partial 16S ribosomal RNA". It matches the Rfam family "Bacterial small subunit ribosomal RNA", at positions 30 to 526 of the family's 1533-position model. The record is from RNAcentral.